AGCGGAUCUCUAUAGCCUUCUCGCCCCAGCCCAUUAUCUGGUUGGAACAGAUGUAGGCUGAAAAGAGAAGAUGGUGGAAGGGUUGUAAGGAGGGUUCAGUCCUAGUCACCCCGGAACAAGCAGCUUGGGGUGGUUCUUCACUUACCCACAGAGGUGGGCAUCUCUCCCCACUGCAGCACCACAUCCUUGAUGAUCCGCCCGAGUUUCACUAUGAGCUCGGGUGUUGGUGGGAUUGACGUUGACCACAGAGCCCUUCCUCACAUCGAACUGCAGUUGAUCAAGGCGACCACCUUCUCCACCCACUAGGGCUGCCAAAGAGGAGGAGGGAGGGUGGGCUGCAGCCCUCAGUGAUAACUUCUAUUCCUAUGCCCCUCCAUCUGAUCUUGACACGUCAGAAUCCUCUGAAGGGGAG
This 412-nucleotide long non-coding RNA is filed under the name Mus pahari (shrew mouse). RNAcentral describes it as "predicted gene 12316 (MGP_PahariEiJ_G0002567.1)". The record is from RNAcentral. Lineage: Eukaryota; Metazoa; Chordata; Mammalia; Rodentia; Muridae.